GGUAGCAUCGUGUAGUGGUUUGAGCAUUGGAUUAUGACUCUGGAGACCAGGGUUCGAAUCCCGGCUCGGCCA
RNAcentral lists this transfer RNA (72 nucleotides) under Phrynosoma platyrhinos (Desert horned lizard). Its description in RNAcentral is "tRNA-OTHER". Lineage: Eukaryota; Metazoa; Chordata; Lepidosauria; Squamata; Phrynosomatidae. The record is from RNAcentral.